This is a long non-coding RNA of Alligator mississippiensis (American alligator), 2258 nucleotides long. RefSeq lists it as uncharacterized. NCBI's taxonomy places the organism in Eukaryota, Metazoa, Chordata, Crocodylia, Alligatoridae. The transcript is spliced from 2 exons. The record is from RefSeq and is a predicted model, not a curated record.
UGCCUGGCUCCUCCUGGAUCUGUAGCCAGGGGGAGCUAGAGCCUGUGGCAGCACCUGUGCUGACCCCAGCAGUAUAAAAAGCUACCCUAGCAAACAGCUCAGGGCUACUUGCUUUCAAGAGCUUUUGAGGGAGGAGCCUCUGGGAGGAAGUUGGCCAUGCCCUUUCCUGACCCAGGCUGCUGCUGCAGCUGGUUGUUGCAAGCUUGGUCUCAGGAGCCUCUGGGGAGCAGAUGGCCAGGCCUUUUCCUGCCUUUGGCUACUAUUAGCUGCUGGCUUGGUCUCAGAGCUUUUGGAGUAAAUUCAACCCCUUCCUGUCUUGGGCUGCUGCUCUUCCUGCCCCCCCCCCCCCGGGGGGGGUACUCUGCUGCAUGCUGCUGCCUCCCCCUUGGGGAGGGGCCCAGUGCACUGCACCACACCCCAGCUUCUGCACCCCUGUUCCAGCCUGCUACCAAGCCGUGGUCAGGGACAGCCUGGGGAGGGAGUCUGCAUUGCCUGUGGGCCCCUCCCCCACCAUCACUGCUGGAGCCUAAAGGAACCUUGCUUGCCUCAGCUGCCUUAGCAGGCCACCCCCACCUUCACCUCCACUUUCACCAGAAGCACACCCUGAGUGGCUGAAAUGGACGGCUCCUAUCAUCACUGCUGCUGUUGCUACUGCUGCCUUGUUGCUGCUGCUGCCCCCUCUCAGGAGAGAAGGAGAUUCCCUGCAGCACCACCUGCACUAGAUCACUUCCUAAUUGACUGACUGCUCCUACCCUCCCCCACAGCUACCUCACUGUAUCUGAUCCUCAUUUGUCUUCCUGCUUUCUGCUCUGCUGCUGAGUAACCGGCUGGAGGCCUAAGGGGCUUCUGGACAGUUCUUCCACAAACAAAGCCCCUCCACUGCUCUAGCCAUCUUUUUACACCUGUCUCAGCAGCCUUCCCUGUGUAUUUUUUCCACUUGUGGUCAUGAUCAAGCUGGCGACAGGAGCGUGGCUGGAGGCUGAGGGGUGCCUGGUAAUUCUUUAUCAGGGGACCUUGGUGAGGACUCUCUAUACACCGGGGAACCUGCAAUGCUUCUGGUGUCGUGCCCCGGGGCACUUGCAUCAUGAGUGCCCCAUGGGCCAGGUGGGGAGGGCAUCUCCAGGUCCCACUGGAAAGAGGGGUGCCCCUACCGCUGGUGCCCCACCCCCCUCAGGCCCCCCUGGCACACCAGCCAGAACUACAAGCCCACCCAUAAGCUCAAGGGACCCAGGGAGGGCACCAGCAACUGGGGGGAGAGAUGGAGCAGAGCCCCCCUGCCCCUAGUCAUACCCCCAUUGUGGCUUCCCCAGCCCCCCAACCCUCACCUUUUUCUUGCUGGAUCCUGUCCACCUGAGGACCACCCCAUAGCUGAGUGGGUGCAGGUCCCCUCCAGACAUAAAAGCAAGAGGAAGGCCUGGGCACAGUUGGAGCCCUCUGAUGUGGAUGACUUCUCCCCCUCCCAAGACAACCACAUGGUGGAGGUGGGGGAAGGAGUGGCCCAGCCUCCAGGGGUCUCCCCACCUCUGUCUGACACCCACCCCUGGGAAAGAUCAAACAGGUGAUCCCCAUGUUGGAAGUUUCAGGGCUGCUGGAUAGUCCCGAACAGGAGCCCAUGGUCAAAGCCCUUCGUUCUGCUGGCAAAGGCCUACCCCGUGAAACCACGGGCGCCAAGGCUGAGGCCUACCCAAAGGAAGGCCUGGCAGCAGAGCCUCCUCCCUCUGAUCUAGGGGAUACAGAGGACCUGGGGCUCACCCCAGUGAGUCCUGAAAGGGGACCUUCUUCCUCCCAGGACCCCACGGCAGAUACCAGAGCCCACGCUGGUGCGUGGUGGCUCUCUUCCCUCCCCCUCCACCUCCCAGGAAAACCACCUCCAGCCUGCCCCAUAGCCCCACACCAGAGAGGGUCACAGUGGGGUCCCCUAAUCUUAGCAGAUUGGGGGGUUCAGAUGGCACCAAAGGAGCCCUCUGAACUCUAGGACCAGGAGGAGGACACCCAAGAACCAGCAGGCUCCAUGGAGCCUGCAGACCUCGUUGUUUCAGUGGUCCCCAGGGAUGAGCUACUUGCAUUUCUUGACCAUGAUUACACCCGCUGGUUCACCAGAAAGGUACAGCUAGCUUUGGACUGCUGGGGAGAUUUUGACAGCCUCCUCGCCACUGCUGGCUUGGUCUUAGAGCUUUUGGGUGUAAGUUGGCAGCACCCCUUUCUGCCUUGGGCUGCUGUUGCUGCUGCUAUUGCUGCUCCCUCCGCAAGGGGGUCCU